Long non-coding RNA from Orcinus orca (killer whale), 701 nucleotides. RefSeq lists it as uncharacterized. The transcript is spliced from 4 exons. Lineage: Eukaryota; Metazoa; Chordata; Mammalia; Artiodactyla; Delphinidae. The record is from RefSeq and is a predicted model, not a curated record.
AUCCUGCACAGUAAUUGGAGGUGUCCCGGUGUAGGGGAGCCACUGCAGGGACUGAUUCUGCAUCAGGUCUGGGAAAUCUGCUUCUGAAUACUGUUAAACUCUUGUGUUUUCCUGGAUACAACAAAAAGCAUAGAAGUUCCAUGACAGACCUUUUAUGUUUAGGUUUUAUUUUUUAAAUUCUGUAUGAAAAUUAUCUAUGAGUGUAUUUCUUACCAACUGUCUAGAUGACAUACGCCUAACGUAGUGAUGUUUUUCCUUCCUACCAGGUUUUUGCUGAAGAGGGUUUGAAGCUUGCUUCAAGUGUGCAAGCUUUCUCAAAACAGCUGAAAGAUGAUGAUAAGCUUAUGCUUCUCCUGGAAAUAAACAAGCUUGUUCCUCUGUGCCACCAGCUCCAGGCAGUAACUAAGACACCUUUGCAGAAUCAAGUGUUUCUAAAGGUUGAUAAGAGUAUUACAAAGACAAGAUGCAUAAUGGCUACUUUGGUCCAACUUCUGUCGCUUUGCUAUAAACUGCUGAAGAAACUUCAAAUGGACAACAACAGAUGAGUCUCAGUUACAAAUAAAGAUUCUGUGGAUGGUAAAACUUGAGAAGCUUUUGAGGUCAGAUCUCUGGAACAUCAUGUGGCAAAGCUGACAUUUUUAGAAAGCAAACGAUCCUUUAUAUUUCAGAAAUACAACAAUUUUGUAAAGAAAACAAACUGA